UACGAAGGGGGCUAGCGUUACUCGGAAUGACUGGGCGUAAAGGGCGCGUAGGCGGUUCGUACAGUCAGACGUGAAAUUCCUGGGCUCAACCUGGGGGCUGCGUUUGAUACGUGCGGACUUGAGUGCGGAAGAGGGUCGUGGAAUUCCCAGUGUAGAGGUGAAAUUCGUAGAUAUUGGGAAGAACACCGGUGGCGAAGGCGGCGACCUGGUCCGAUACUGACGCUGAGGCGCGAAAGCGUGGGGAGCAAACAGG
RNAcentral lists this ribosomal RNA (253 nucleotides) under uncultured bacterium. RNAcentral describes it as "partial 16S ribosomal RNA". It matches the Rfam family "Bacterial small subunit ribosomal RNA", at positions 524 to 776 of the family's 1533-position model. The record is from RNAcentral.